This 489-nucleotide ribosomal RNA is filed under the name uncultured bacterium. Its description in RNAcentral is "partial 16S ribosomal RNA". It matches the Rfam family "Bacterial small subunit ribosomal RNA", at positions 28 to 507 of the family's 1533-position model. The record is from RNAcentral.
GAUGAACGCUAGCUACAGGCUUAACACAUGCAAGUCGAGGGGCAGCAUGAACUUAGCUUGCUAAGUUUGAUGGCGACCGGCGCACGGGUGAGUAACACGUAUCCAACCUGCCGAUGACUCGGGGAUAGCCUUUCGAAAGAAAGAUUAAUACCCGAUGGCAUAGUUCUUCCGCAUGGUAGAACUAUUAAAGAAUUUCGGUCAUCGAUGGGGAUGCGUUCCAUUAGGUUGUUGGCGGGGUAACGGCCCACCAAGCCUUCGAUGGAUAGGGGUUCUGAGAGGAAGGUCCCCCACAUUGGAACUGAGACACGGUCCAAACUCCUACGGGAGGCAGCAGUGAGGAAUAGUGGUCAAGGGACGAGAGUCUGAACCAGCCAAGUAGCGUGAAGGAUGACUGCCCUAUGGGUUGUAAACUUCUUUUAUACGGGAAUAAAGUGAGGCACGGGUGCCUUUUUGUAUGUACCGUAUGAAUAAGGAUCGGCUAACUCCGUG